Long non-coding RNA from Argiope bruennichi, 417 nucleotides. RefSeq lists it as uncharacterized. The transcript has 3 exons. The record is from RefSeq and is a predicted model, not a curated record. NCBI's taxonomy places the organism in Eukaryota, Metazoa, Arthropoda, Arachnida, Araneae, Araneidae.
GGAGAUUAGAACUUAGAAGUUUAGCAACUUUCAGCCUUAACAGAAAAUGAUGAAGCAUCUGGUAUUUUUGCUGCUUUUUGGCUUAAUUGUUUCAACGUAUGCUAUAAAUGUAGAGGAGUAUAUAGAACAUUUCGCUGCAGUGGGUUGUUCAAGAAAAGUCGAUUCAACAGGAUCGAACUUCUUGAUAAAAGUUUGCGGAUCAUGCCUGCGUUACACCACCAAAGUAGUGAAAAUUGAUCAAGGAUUGUGUGGAAAUGUUCACGGCUAAUUCCUGAAGAUUUAAAUCGACAUCUGCAAGGAAUGCAAAAAAAAAAGGUGGAAGCAGAGUGUCUUGAAACAGUUUGAUUCUCAGAAGAUAGGUGUAUUAAUUAUUUUACAUGUUCCAAAAUUUUGAAAUGGCAAUUAUUUUUAGUGAUA